CUCCUCUUCUCCUCUUCCUCUCUUCUUCCCUUUUCCUUUCUCUUCUUCUUCCUUUCCUUCUCUUCUUUCCCAGCUGCACUGCUGCAGUUGCAGCCUCAGCCACGGCCGUAGCCUCUUCUUCCUCCCCUGCUCAUCUUCCUCUCCUUCUUCUCUUCCAACUGNNNNNNNNNNNNNNNNNNNNUUCCUCUUCCUCUUUCCCUGCCACAACUGCAACUGCCACAGCCGCAGCUGCUUCUUUCUCUUCUCCUCUUCCUUCUCCUUCCUUUCUUCUUCUUCUCUUCUUCCUCACCUUUUUUUCUUCCUCUCCUUCUCUUCCAGCUGCAGCUGCCACCGCCGCAGCCGCAGCUCCUCCUUUCCCUUCUCUUCUUCUCCUCUUCUUCUUCACUCCUCCUCCCCGGCGUCACACACACCCUCUCCUCUGUUUCCUCUCCAGGAAAGAGAGGUAUCACAACCUCUUCUCCUACUUCCUCUUCUUCUUCUUCUCCUCCCCAAUGCCCCACACCUCGUCUCCUCUGUUUCCGCCUGCAGGAAACAGAGGUGCUGCAGCCCUAGCUGCUGCCACCUCUCGCUCCUCUCCCACUUCCCUCUCUUUUUCUUCUUCUUCUAUUCUUCUCUUCUCCCUCUUCUUCCUCCUCUCUUCUUUUCUUCUUCUCCUCUUCUUCCUUUCUCCUCCCCAAUGCCCCACAGCUCCUCGCUGCAGCCCUUGCUGCAGCCACCUCCUCUUUUCUUCUUCUUCUUCUUCUUCUUCUGCUUCUCUUCUUCUCCUCUUCUUCCCUUCUCCUCCCCGACGUCCCACUCAUGAACUCCUCUAUUUCCUCCUACAUGAAACAGAGGUGCUGCAGCCCUAGCUGCUGCAACUAUCUCUCUUUCCUCUCCCUCUUCCCUCUCUUCUUCUUUUUCUUUUCUUCUCUUCUCCCUCUUCUUCUCUUCUUCUUCUCCCCACGCCCCACCGCUCCUCUCUCUUUUUGAACAGAGGGCGUUGGAGGCGAUGGGAUAAAACCGAAAUUUUCGGUUUUCCUUUUUUUUUUUUAUAACUUAACAGUUUAGUCCUUAAAAUUUCUAUAUUUAUAUAUAGGUCCUUCGAUUUAUAAAUAAUUUUUUAUUAAUAAAUUUUAAAAGUGAGGGAUAUUACACUCUCCCCCCUCUCUUAAAAGAAAAUUUAGUCAUCUAAAUUGAUUAUAGCGCAAUCGAUGAAAAGAUGAGGAUUAUGAUUUCUUUAUUUCCUCCUACUCUCAAAUAAUUUCAUCAAUAUAAUACAAUCCUUAUUUCAUAGUCCUUGUAGUUGCUUUUUCAAUUUCACUUACUCAAAUGAUAUCAUUCUGUAGAGAGGCUUGGAUAUUGGGAUUGUCCCAAGGAUUAAAUCAAAAGCAAAGUCACAUUUGGAGGUAAUCCAUGCAAGUCAUCCUGGGAUACAUUAGGCAAGGAGAUAAAUCAUGUCCAAUACUCUCAAAAUAAAAGAUCGGCUGAUCAAAUAUGCAAAAAGUGAUCAUUUGUUAUAUACCAAUCCAUACUGGUAUGAUGGGAAGAUAGAUAAUCCAUACCAAGUAUAAUAUCAAAACUCCAAAUCUCUAGAAGAACUAAAUCAGCAAAAAGUUCAAGUUCUCCAAUAAAAUUAGACAAGAGGACCAGAUUCAAGUUCGUUAUCAAAGAAUCUCCAAUGACUGUAUUUACAUAUAUCACAUAAUGCAGUGGUCUAGGUUGAAUACCCAAGUGAUAAGCAAAAUAUUAUGAAUCAAAUCGUAGAUAGGACCCAUGGUCAAACAAAUAUUUGCAUUCUUUCAUAAACAUGCAUAAUACCUUCGACUACUAAUUUAGAAGUUUUAGAAUCAUAUUCAGUGGUAGCAUACACUCUGAUAUGGGCUGAUGAUUCAAGAGGCAAUGACUCUUUCUUCUUGUUCAAAGGGCAGUAUUUUAUUUUAUGAUCCAACUUUCCACAAGCAAAAUAGGCUUUAGUCACCCAAAAACACAAACUUGUUUUAUAAUUUAACCUGCAAUUCACACAUGAUUGAGUCUUUUGUGAUGACUUUCCUUUUCAAAUCCAAAUGUCUUGACCCUCUUUUUAUCACUUUCUGAUUCAUUUCCAAUCAUAUUUUUAUUGGUAAACUUGUCCUUAACAUUCUUGCCAUUGAUCUUCAAAAAUUCUUUUUAUUGUUCCCAUUAAUGAUCAGCCUCUACUUCCAAUAUAAGGUGGCAAAAAAAAUAUUUUGAUCAUUGAAACAAUUUCGUACAUCAAAUAUCUUUUCCAUUCGCAUUAUCCAUUUUUCUGCCAACAACGAAAUUAGGUUCACCAUGCUUUCACUGUGCCACUCUGAUUUGAUAUCCCCGAUGAACCCUUUCAUCCUACUUAAUUAAUCAGAAACAAUUGAAAUAGGAGGACCAAAUUGCCUCAUCAUCCUUGAUUCCUAAAAUGCAUCAAAGAAAAUUUCCCUAAUCACUAUAGUUCACUAGACCUCAAUAUAUUUUGCACGUCAUCAUAUUAAAUAUUUCAGUGAUCCUCAAACCAUGCUCGGAUACCACUUCUGUCACGCCCCUCAAAAAUAUCGAUAAUAUUAAAAUUUUCAUCACAAACCAAUCUAGGAUCCAGACUAACAUUUGAGGACACUGAAAAACAUUAUAUCAAAUUCAUAUCUAUAAAACCUAUGCAGUUUAUAAUCAUAUAUCACAUCACUCGAUAAUUUACAUUUAUGGCAACCCAAGCCAACUUAACAAACAUGAACAAUAUUUAUAAAUCCACAAGCUAAGUAAUUUAUACAAUCAAAACUCCAACCAUUUACCACAAGUUCAUAUCAUCGUAAACUAGACUUAACAUUUUGAAACUCCAAAUAAGAGAGAUCGUCUAAUACUUUUACAAGGUAUAUUUAUUUCAGUUCAUCGACAACAUUUCAUUACAUACAAAAUAAGCUUAUACAACAAUAACAUAAUAACCAACAAGACUUGCCCAUAAUUCUGAAUAGCUCUCCACUGCCUCAGCCCAAUUCAAAACAUCUCAAAGAGUGACAAGCUAACCUGAAAGAUUUAUAUAACAACGGAGUGAGCUAAAAACAGCUCAGCAAGUGACAAAGCAUAUCUAGCACAAGAAGGGACAGUUUUAAACAAACAAGAUAUCACAAUGUAAGAUAGAAUCCAAGAGAUUCAAGGAUAUCAUCUCAUUAGAUGCAGAAUCGUAAAUGUCAUUUCAUUCAUAACAUAUUUGGUUCAUAACAAAUGGAGCAUAGAGUAAUUGGAGCAUAUCAAUAGUGUACGAGAUGUUCCGGAGCAUAUGAAGUGCAAAUAGGACAUUUCAUAACAUAUCAGUUCAUAGCAAAUGGAGCACAGAGUAAUUGGAGCAUAUCAAUAGCGUACGAGAUGUUCCGGAGCAUAUCAAUGGCAAAUAGGAUAUUUCAGAAUAUAUCAGUUCAUAGCAAAUGGAGCACAGAGUAAUUGGAGCAUACCAAUAGCGUAUGAAAUGUUCCGGAGUAUAUCAAUGACAAAUGAAACAUUUCGGAAUAUAUCAAUGGUAUGUGAAGCAUUUUGAAGUAUAUCAAUGGCAUAGAAAACAUUUUGGAGCAUAUCAAUACAAAAUACGAAACAGAAGCUCAGACGUCGUACCCUAGCAUAGUGCAUGUGAGGUUUAACUCAGUGGUGGCUCCAUGCCGUGAUGAGUUCUCGACUCUAUCCAUGGGUAGCCCAUUCCUACUCGAGCCCUCUCACCCUACCCAAAUGCUAGGUCAGCUCUGAAUUUCAUAUCAAACAGAUAGAAGGUGAAGUGGGAUUCCAAACAUAAUAUGAUAUAUCCAUUUUUGAAUGACCACCAAACAUAAUCCAGAGCAUCGUGAGCUCUAAAGCACAUACCCUUUAGCAUUUCUGGCAAAGGUCCAAAUAAUCCCACAAACACCAGAGUACAAAAAGGUAUUGUGAACAAUAAAUUGGGACAUAUCGGAAGCACAUAUGGAACAACGAAAUAUACUUGUGCCUUUAUGAGUUAAUACAAUGCAAACAUAAUCAUUCAGAAAUGUAUUCAGAUUUAAAAGAGAAUGAAAGAAAAAGCGUACAAGGAUUCCAAGCAAUCACAUAUAGCUCAAUUCAAAUAAGAAGGUUAAAUGAAAUUGAUUUCCAAAGGAAUGAAACCAGAAUAUGCGAAAUCGACCAAAGCUCGAUUUCUGGCAGAAUUUAAGGGGCACAUUGAAUAAAUGAUUCAAACUAUCAAUCGUGCUCCAAUUUUACUCAGAAAUAUAUCAUUAGAAAGAUAUUUCAAUCUACUUUCAUAUAAAAUAAGCUUCAUAUGAAUUGAACUGUCCAACAGAGAGUUACAAAUAAUUUGGAAAACAAGGGUCGGAGAACAAAAUCUCUGUUUAGCAGAAUUUAUAAGGACAGAUUCAACAGAUAACUGGGCAGGUGUUUGGAAUCCAAAUCUUUCAAUCCAUAUAUCAAAAGAAAGAUCUACGAGUCUAGUUUCUAAUGAAAUAUUUUAAAUAAAUCAGAGUUUCCAACAUCGACUUAUAGGCAACUCGGUAUCAAAAGGUCAGAAAUUACGAUCCUUGUUUUACAGAAUCUGUAGGCUCAUUUGAAACAGAAGUUUGGGUAGGCAAACUUACUCCGAAUUCUUAAAAUAAGCUAUCAAAAGAAAGGUUUAUGAGCCUAUAUUCUGAUCAAAUAAGUUUUGUCAAAAUCAAAGGUCAAUACGUGAAGUUAUAACCAUAACAAGGUAGAAAGGUCAGAAUCUUAGAAGUUGUACAGAUUCGAAUCGUUACGUCUAAACAGGAGUUAUAUCAAAUGCAAGGCUAGAACAAUUCAAAGUUCCUCAUAUUCAAAGCAAACAUAGAGAUAAAAUUGUAGUAAAGAAAGAUUAGGACACUUGCAAUAGGAAAGAUUAGAAAGCUUGAAAUAGGAAAGAUCGGAACACUUGCCUUUCAAAUAUUUUGAUUCGAAGAUCUAAAGAAGGUGUCAGCCCAAAUCCUUCUAAUUUUCCUCCGUAUCCUCUCCCUGUUUCGUUUUCUACGUAUCUUUUCUUUUUCCUCCACAACUGUAGCUCAUGCAGAACAUAGAGGCAUAGUCACUUGCUCUCUCUUACUCUCAUUCCUCCAUUUUCUUUUUCAAACACAACUGUCACAGCCAUCGCCGCUGCCACUACCACAGUCGUAGCCACGACCGCAGCUACUAUCACAACCGCAUCCCCUUCCACUGCACUACUUCCUUUCUCUCUUCUCUCAUUCCUACUUUUUCUUUCCCAAACACAGCUGUCGCAGACGUAGCCGCCACCACCGCAGCCGCAAUCACGGCCACAGCCCCUUUAUUUUUCCCCUUUCCUUUCUUUCUAUUUCCCUGAAGCAGUUGAUGCAGCCACCACCGCUGCCGCAGCUACCGUAGCCAACGUCGCAGCCGCGGCCGCAAUCAUAGCCACCACAGCCGCAGCCUCUUCUUCCUCCCCUGCUCUGUUUCCUCUCCUUUUUCUUUCAGCUGCAGCUGCCACUGUCGCAGCUGCCUCCUCUUCUCCUCUUCCUCUCUUCUUCCCUUUUCCUUUCUCUUCUUCUUCCUUUCCUUCUCUUCUUUCCCAGCUGCACUGCUGCAGUUGCAGCCUCAGCCACGGCCAUAGCCUCUUCUUCCUCCCCUGCUCAUCUUCCUCUCCUUCUUCUCUUCCAACUGCAGCUGCCAUUGCCGCAGCCGCAGCCCCUUCUUCCCCUUCUCUUCUUCCUCUCCUUCCCUUCUUCCUUCCUCUUCCUCUUUCCCUUCCACAGCUGCAGCUGCCGCAGCCGCAGCC
This 5737-nucleotide long non-coding RNA is filed under the name Musa acuminata (dwarf banana). Its description in RNAcentral is "long non-coding RNA (MACU_LNC008962)". Lineage: Eukaryota; Viridiplantae; Streptophyta; Magnoliopsida; Zingiberales; Musaceae. The record is from RNAcentral.